Molecule: non-coding RNA, 159 nt
Organism: Oryctolagus cuniculus (rabbit)
Lineage: Eukaryota; Metazoa; Chordata; Mammalia; Lagomorpha; Leporidae
Source: RefSeq, a predicted model, not a curated record
AUACUUACGUGGCAGGGGGAGACGCCACAAUCACGAAGGUGGUUUUUCCAGGAUGAGGCUUAUGCAUCCCGAUGUGCUGAUUUCUCUGAUUUCCCCAAAUGUGGGGAACUCAGCUGUGUGGCUUCUGGUAGUGGGGGACUGUGUUCGCGUUUUCUCCUG